GCCGGCGUGGCGGAAUGGCAGACGCGGUAGACUCAAAAUCUACUAAGGGCGACCUUGUAAGAGUUCAAGUCUCUUCGCCGGCA
RNAcentral lists this transfer RNA (83 nucleotides) under Treponema sp. Its description in RNAcentral is "tRNA-Leu". It matches the Rfam family "tRNA". From Rfam's summary of the family: Transfer RNA (tRNA) molecules are approximately 80 nucleotides in length. Their secondary structure includes four short double-helical elements and three loops (D, anti-codon, and T loops). Lineage: Bacteria; Pseudomonadati; Spirochaetota; Spirochaetia; Treponematales; Treponemataceae. The record is from RNAcentral.